Molecule: ribosomal RNA, 486 nt
Filed under: uncultured bacterium
Lineage: Bacteria
Description: partial 16S ribosomal RNA
Rfam family: Bacterial small subunit ribosomal RNA
Source: RNAcentral
AUUUAACGCUGGCGGCAUGCCUUACACAUGCAAGUCGAACGGCAGCACGGGUGCUUGCACCUGGUGGCGAGUGGCGAACGGGUGAGUAAUACAUCGGAACAUGUCCUGUAGUGGGGGAUAGCCCGGCGAAAGCCGGAUUAAUACCGCAUACGAUCUACGGAUGAAAGCGGGGGACCUUCGGGCCUCGCGCUAUAGGGUUGGCCGAUGGCUGAUUAGCUAGUUGGUGGGGUAAAGGCCUACCAAGGCGACGAUCAGUAGCUGGUCUGAGAGGACGACCAGCCACACUGGGACUGAGACACGGCCCAGACUCCUACGGGAGGCAGCAGUGGGGAAUUUUGGACAAUGGGCGAAAGCCUGAUCCAGCAAUGCCGCGUGUGUGAAGAAGGCCUUCGGGUUGUAAAGCACUUUUGUCCAGAAAGAAAUCCUUGGCUCUAAUACAGUCGGGGGAUGACGGUACCGGAAGAAUAAGCACCGGCUAACUACGUG